This 2170-nucleotide unclassified non-coding RNA is filed under the name Hevea brasiliensis (rubber tree). Lineage: Eukaryota; Viridiplantae; Streptophyta; Magnoliopsida; Malpighiales; Euphorbiaceae. The record is from RNAcentral.
AAAAAUAAAAUAAAAUAAAAAUAAUAAUUAAAAAAAAACAGUGAAAGGGGAACAAAAUAGAAGAAAAUUUAAGUGUAAUUGAGACAAACUACUCAGACUCAGCUAGCAAACAUAUUCACCGAGUGGAGUUCAAACACGAGUAGCAAGUGAAGCCAAAUUUAAGUAUGAUAAUGCUCGACCAAAGUAGUUCGGGAGCCUAAUCAAGUAUUUCAAAUAUAUUUUAUACUAUACUAUUUAAACAAUAAUUUAUGAUAUUAAGUUUCAACUCAAGCCUUAAUUCAAGAUCAAUAACUUUAAUAGCAAUUGAGUUAAGUUUGAGUGUCCAACUGAGUUGUGAAUGAACAUGAAAAGAUAGGAAUACAGGAUUAGAUCAAGCUUGAGUUGAGUUUUCUAAUCAAAUCAAGUUAGAGUAGUAGUACAUUUUAUUGAUUUGACUUGGCUGGACAGCACCCCUAUGAAUAUUGAACCAAUGGUAAUCUAGAUUUUAGAAAGGCCCUCUUGAUAUCCAUAUUCAGUUAAUCUACAAACCAGGAUUAACUUCAGAUACUCAUCAUCUAUGUUCAACUUCAACUACUCAGCUUUUAGAGCGGCGCCAACCUUUUGUAAACACAUGGUGAUACACUCAUCUCCUGUAGUAGACCAAUCUGCAAAAGGUAAAUGAAAGUUAGCAAAUCAACAUUAAUGUAAAAUCCAAAAAAAAGAAAUGCAAAUCACCAACUAGUGACCAUUAACUAGUGACCAUUAAGUAGCCAGGAGUAGAAGGAUCAGGCAACUCAUAUUGUGUGAAAUUGCAACGAACAAUAUUUUCCAUUUGGAUGCAGCUGGAAGGGAUCAAUUCACGAUGCCUAAGCAAAUUCGUCUUCCAAGAUCAGAAGCUUCCUUCCAGUGAAUUAAAACUGAGAAUAGGAUGAAGUUUUACUCUCAUUGCCACUUUUUUUAAAAAAAUUGCUGACCAAAAUAUACCAUGUUACAUCAUUAGGUACAAAGUCAUUCUUGACACUUUGAUGGAGGAGUAAACAUGCAUCGUCAAACAUUCCAUCUCUGCAAUGCCAACAAAUCAAAGUGUUAUAAGUAAUAGCAUCAGGUUGUAUUCCUUCAACCUGCAAUUUGUCAAAGAGAUUGACAGCCUCCCGAAUGUUCCCCAUCUUGCAUAAACCAUUAAUCAGGCUGUUGUAGCUGACAAUGUCAGGUGCCAAUCCUCGAUGAAUCAUAUCCCUUAGAAGCUCAAGUGCAUUACGUACUUUGCCAACUCUACAAAGGCCAUUGAUCAAUAUAUUGCAUGAGAUAUUACUGGGAAUUAGAUCCUUCCUGAUCAUUUCUUCAAACAAUCCCAAUCCUUUCUCAAUGGCCCCAGCUUUGCAGAAUGCUUUUAUUAGGCCAUUGUAAGUGAUUUUAUCAAGAGGGCAUCCUCUGAACAACAUAUCAUUUACAAGCUUAAGUGCUUCUUGAAUUGCACCUCUCCUCAAAAAAGCAUGAAUCAAUGUGUUGUAAGUUACAGUAUUGGCAAUAGCACCCUCCAAUAACAUAUCACGAUAGAGUCCUAAGGCUUCCUCCAUCUCAUCAACCUUGCAUAAACCAAAUAUUAGAGUAUUAAAUGUAAAUAUGUCAGGCUUACAUCCUUUGCUUGACAUUUCACCAAGCAUCUCCAAAGCUUCAUGAACCUUCCCACCCUUGCAUAAAGCACAUAUUAGGGUGUUGUAUCCCUCUAAACUCAAACCAAGUCCCUUAGCUGACAUCUCAUUUAAAACAUGACCAGCUUCAUCUAAUUGACCUUUCUUACAGAACCCAUCAAGCAAAAUAGUGUAUGUCAUUACAUUAGGCUUGCAACCACUGACAGCCAUCUCAUCAACCAAUUCAAGAGCUGAACCCAUAAGCCCCUUCUUGCAAAACCCAUGUAUCAGUAUGUUAAAUGUGAAAAGAUCAGGCCUACAUCCAUCAUUUAACAUCUUAUCAUACAAAAAACCCUUAGCUUCAUCCAAGCGGCCACUCUUUACAUAUCCAUUAAUCACGAUAUUGAAGUGCACUGUAUUUGGAACAGGGAUUUUGUUCAACAACACCUGGGCUUCAUCUACUUGUGCCGCUCUACACAACCCAUGCAUUAGAACUCCAUAAGUCAUAUCAUUCGGGGUGAAACCUCGGACAAGCAUGCGGUCAACCAAUUUUGCCCCCU